CAACCAUCAAGCACUGCUUGGUAUUGGAUGCAACUUGUAAGUGCAUCUUAAAAACAUUGGCGGCAGCAUUUAGCUUCUAGCGUAGUAAAUUUCUCGCUCUGGAGCUUAGAUUCCUGCCUGCCAGAACUAUUAUUUCAAA
Molecule: unclassified non-coding RNA, 139 nt
Filed under: uncultured Ascomycota
Lineage: Eukaryota; Fungi; Ascomycota
Description: sequence contains ITS2
Source: RNAcentral